CGGAGCAAUCCCUUAAAGCCAUUCUCAGUUCGGAUUGUAGGCUGAAACUCGCCUACAUGAAGCUGGAGUUACUAGUAAUCGCAGAUCAGAAUGCUGCGGUGAAUGCGUUCCCGGGUCUUGUACACACCGCCCGUCACACCACGGAAGUUGGGGGCGCCCGAAGCCACUUAGCUAACCCAUUUGGGAAGCGAGUGUCGAAGGUGAAAUCAAUAACUGGGGUGAAGUCGUAACAAGGUAAC
Molecule: ribosomal RNA, 239 nt
Filed under: uncultured bacterium
Lineage: Bacteria
Description: partial 16S ribosomal RNA
Rfam family: Bacterial small subunit ribosomal RNA
Source: RNAcentral